AUCUAUAUAGUAUAAUUAUUAUAAUUAAUUUCCAAUUAAAAGAUUUAAAAAAAUUAAUAUAGAUA
Molecule: transfer RNA, 65 nt
Filed under: Pachycondyla annamita
Lineage: Eukaryota; Metazoa; Arthropoda; Insecta; Hymenoptera; Formicidae
Description: tRNA-Gly
Source: RNAcentral